AAAAAAACGAAAGAUAAAAACGAAAGAUAAAAACGAAAGAUAAAAACGANNNNNNNNNNAAAAACGAAAGAUAAAAACGAAAGAUAAAAACGAAAGAUAAAAACGAAAGAUAAAAACGAAAGAUAAAAACGAAAGAUAAAAACGAAAGAUAAAAACGAAAGAUAAAAAUAAAAGAGGCAAAAACAAAAAAGCGAAAUAAAAAAAAAGGCAUUUAAAAAUACAAAUUACCAAUAUAUAAGUAGGUAAAUUACAUGAUGAAAAAAAAGUGCUAUGUAUGUACAAGCUAUUUCUACGUAUAAACAAAUAUAUAUGUAUAUAUAUACAUAUAUAUAUAUAUUUGUGCGCACGUAACUUUCCCAUAUUGGUUUACCAACUGAACACAGACAGCUGUAUGAAUUACAUGUACGUAUUGUUUUAAUAGUAUUAUGUUAUAUAUGUUAUAAGUGCUCGGUUUAGCUUCCUUUAUAGACAUCCGACAUAUAUAUAUAUAUAUAUAUACUCAUAUUAUACGUUUAAAUACAAUAUUCAAUUUUGUAAUUUAAAAGAUAUUUUCCUUUUUUUCCCCUCUUUUUAUAAUAAUGAUUUCUUGUAUACUAAUUUUAUAUGUAUAGUACUUUUCACUAAAAACAUCGGUUUUUUCAAUUAUGCCUUAUAUGUAUAUGGUAAUUUUUUAUUUUUUUUUGUUAGAGCCAAAAUGUACGAAGCUAUUGAUUUUGAGACUUUGAAAAAUGAAAUGAAACUUGAAAAACUGAUAAAUGAAAGUGUAGAUGCUCCGAAAGCUAAUGCUAACACAAAUUUAAUAAACAAAACAGAGGAAACAUUGAAAAUAGAACAACACCCUCAAAUAAAAUUUAAAAUAAUAAAUUCUUUUUAUUUGUACAAUUAUAUGCAACUACUACUAGAUGAAGACAUUAAUAAAACUAUGUAUAUCAUUGACUUACGCGAUGAAAAGUUAUAUAAAGAGAGUCAUUUAAAGAACGCUAUACAUAUAAAAAAUGUCACUAAACUGAACAAGGCAAUAACUAAAAUGAAAACGGAGGUAAGUACAAACAAUAACACAAGUAGUAACGCAAACACCUAUAAUAGAAUCAAAGGGAAAAAAAAAGUCAUUUUUUAUGAUAAUAAGGUAGCUGAAAAUUUAAAAACAUAUAGUCAAUUUUUAAGUCCAAUUUUUGCAAAUGUAUAUGCUGAUUUUUAUUUUUUAAAAGAGGGUUUCAAACAUUUUGAAAAUGUAUACAGCUUUUUAUGCGUUAGUAAAAAUAUGAAUUGCGACAAUAUGCAAAUAAAUCCUAUCCCAUUUGUACCUUAUGUAAUAAAUUAUCCAAUGAAAUUUUGUAACAACGUCUAUUUAGGUCAUAUUAUUCAUAUUAAUAAUUCUUAUGUAAACCAUUUUUUAAAAAUAAAAUAUAUAUACGAUUUUACAUCAUCUGGCUUUUCUAUAAAACAUGAUGAACAUGUUACAUAUUUCAGAUACAAUGUUAUUAAAAAAAAAUUAGAAAAUAAAAAUUCGUUGAAAGGGGAAUCUAUAAAUUUCAACAAUUUUUUAGAUAAUUAUAUGGUAUAUCAGGUUAUUUAUAAUAUAGCUAAAAAUUAUAAUGAAAAAAUUGAUAAUAAUUUACUAAUAAAUGAAGAAGGAGAAAAUAUGGAUCGUACAGAUACUUUAAUAAUAUGUAAUGAAGGAAUAACGAAUAAAACAAAAAAAAGUAUGAAUAAUAUAGGGUUAAUUAUUUGUAUGUGUUAUGUUAUGUAUAUAAAAAAAUAUAACUUUAAUUUAAUCAUGACAUAUAUAUUAAAAAUAUAUAAUAAUUUAGAUAUUAAUUUUAAAGUACAAAUAUUUUUAAAAUCUUUUUAUAAUUCGUUAGAGAAAAAUAAUUUUGAUUUAUCAGUUUGUUGUUCGUUAAAAAGUGGUCGUAACAACGACAAUGUUACUUGCAAUGGUAGUAGUAGUAGUAGUAAAAGUAGUGAAAGUAGUAGUAGUAAAAGUAGUAGAUCAAUAAAAAUUGAACAAAAUAGUAGAAAUAACAUGCCUUAUUUAAACGACAAUACUAAACGACUUAUAAAUUUAUUCAAAAGUGACAAAUUUAUUAACUUAAUUAAAAAAUAUGAAAUAAAUAAUUCAUAUAUUAUGCUAUACCGAUCAGACGAAUAUAUUCUUUAUAUAAAUCCAUCAAAAAAUAUACUAACUGAUAUGAAUAUAAUAAAACAAAAAGUUAAAAAUAAAGAAUACAAGAGUUAUGAAGUUGUAAUGCAUUCACUUUUAUAUUAUAUUUAUAAUAAUAAUUUUAUUAUAUUAACAAAUUUUUAUGAUAUAAAUAACUUUUUGGAAAUAUUUAUCCUUAUUAUAAAUGACAGUGAAGUAGAAUAUCCAUUUAAAAUGCCAUAUAUAGCGCUUAUACUUAUAAAUAUGUGUAAAGUCUUAAUGCAAGAGGAUACCCAUUUAAAGUACGAUAGCAGUAAGAAAAUGCAAUCACAAACAGGAACUGCAACUACAACUGCAACUACAACUACAACUACAACUACAACUACAACCAAUACAACCAAUACAACCAAUACAACGCAAACGUUUGCAGCAGAAUACGAAUGCUUAAAAGGUAAUGUACUGAAUUUAAUUUAUUAUAAUGUUGUUAUAUGUAUAGAUUUUUUUAUAAAUAAUAUUACAUAUACAACCGAAUUAAAUCAAACUAAAAAAGAAGAAUAUAAACUCACGAUAAAAACAAAAAAUGAAUAUCUAACCGAAAAAUGUAUUAGUAAAAAUAUAUAUUUAAUGUUGUUAUCAUUAAAAUAUCUAUUAGCAACUUUUUUCCAUUUUUAUGUUUAUCCGACUAUUAAAAAAUUUACAUUUUCAUAUUUGGAUAUGAUAUACCAAUUAUUAAAAAAAAUUGAUAUAUUAGCUGAUUGUUAUUAUUCAAUUUUUAAUGUAAAUAUUAAUUUAUUUAACAAAAAUGAUUAUAAUGCAAAAGUUUGUUUUCAUGAUUAUCUACCAUUAUACUUUUCUGAUAUUUUAAGACCCUUUGUUAUAAUAAAUAAUUAUUUAUUUGGGAACUUGGAACAUACUAUAUAAAUAUACAUAUUGAUUAUAUACUUAACAAAAACAUAUGUUAUUUAUCUUAUCAACAUAUGUUUUUACUACGUUUAUAAAUAAACGCGCACAAAAUGCGUGUGUGCA
Long non-coding RNA from Piliocolobus tephrosceles (Ugandan red Colobus), 3166 nucleotides. NCBI's taxonomy places the organism in Eukaryota, Metazoa, Chordata, Mammalia, Primates, Cercopithecidae. The record is from Ensembl.